Molecule: long non-coding RNA, 326 nt
Organism: Apus apus (common swift)
Lineage: Eukaryota; Metazoa; Chordata; Aves; Apodiformes; Apodidae
Exons: 2
Source: RefSeq, a predicted model, not a curated record
GCUGGAAUCCUCGGAGACCCCUCGGGCGGGGCAACUGGAGCAAGGGAAAAUCGUAAUGAAUCCCUAGGGAGCCACUCGGAACAGCCUGGGUGGAUCUACUGGCUGGACUUGUAGGUACCACCAAGGUGACCCAACCUGAGAAACAACAUAUUUGGAGUGGAAAAUCCUCCUGGUUAACUGAGGUACCCACUGCUUUUCUUCUGGACAAGGACCCAGAAAAUGCUGGAAAAUUUUAGAACAGGUAAAGGUCUGGCUUCGAGAGGUUUCUUUAAAGGUAUUGGAUUAAUCAGCACACCAAGUUCAAGAGAAUAAAUGGUUUUGUUCUG